AACGAACGCUGGCGGCAUGCCUAACACAUGCAAGUCGAACGAGACCUUCGGGUCUAGUGGCGCACGGGUGCGUAACGCGUGGGAACCUGCCCUUAGGUUCGGAAUAACUCCCCGAAAGGGGUGCUAAUACCGGAUAAUGUCUUCGGACCAAAGAUUUAUCGCCUUUGGAUGGGCCUGCGUUGGAUUAGCUAGUUGGUAGGGUAAAAGCCUACCAAGGCGACGAUCCAUAGCUGGUCUGAGAGGAUGAUCAGCCACACUGGGACUGAGACACGGCCCAGACUCCUACGGGAGGCAGCAGUGGGGAAUAUUGGACAAUGGGCGAAAGCCUGAUCCAGCAAUGCUGCGUGAGUGAUGAAGGCCUUAGGGUUGUAAAGCUCUUUUACCCGGGAUGAUAAUGACAGUACCGGGAGAAUAAGCUCCGGCUAACUCCGUG
Molecule: ribosomal RNA, 433 nt
Filed under: uncultured bacterium
Lineage: Bacteria
Description: partial 16S ribosomal RNA
Rfam family: Bacterial small subunit ribosomal RNA
Source: RNAcentral